This 1017-nucleotide long non-coding RNA is filed under the name Cyanistes caeruleus (blue tit). Its description in RNAcentral is "lncRNA (ENSCCEG00000001478.1)". Lineage: Eukaryota; Metazoa; Chordata; Aves; Passeriformes; Paridae. The record is from RNAcentral.
AUUAAUGCCUAAUUAAUUAUUAUUAAUUAAUUAGCGCUAAUUACGGGUUUCUCUGCAGAAGAAGAGCGUGUACCACUGCAACAAGCGCCGCCUGCAGUUCCAACACCUCCCUAAUAAAUGAUUAAUAACUCCCUAAUAACCAAUAAUAAUAACACCUCCCUAAUAAACCACCGAUAACUCCCUAAUAAUCAAUAAAUAAUAAAUAAUUAAUGCCUAAUUAAUUAUUAUUAAUUAAUUAGCGCUAAUUACGGGUUUCUGUGCAGAAGAAGAGCGUGUACCACUGCAACAAGCGCCGCCCGCAGUUCCAACACCUCCCUAAUAAAUGAUUAAUAACUACCUAAUAACCAAUAAUAAUAACACCUCCCUAAUAAACCACUGACAACUCCCUAAUAGUCAAUAAAUAAUAAAUAAUUAAUGCAUAAUUAACUAUUAUUAACUAAUUAACGCUAAUUAUGGGUUUCUCUGCAGAAGAAGAACGUGUACCACUGCAACAAGUGCCGCCUGCAGUUCCAACACCUCCCUAAUCAACCACUGAUAAUUACCUAAUAAUUAAUAAUUAAUAAGUAAUUAAUGCCUAAUUAAUUACUAUUAAUUAAUUAACGCUAAUUACGGGUUUCUCUGCAGAAGAAGAGCGUGUACCACUGCAACAAGUGCCGCCUGCAGUUCCUGUUUGCCAAGGACAAGAUCGAGCACAAGCUGCAGCACCACAAAACCUUCCGCAAACCCAAACAGCUCGAGGGGCUCAAACCCGGCACCAAGGUGACGAUCCGGGCGUCGCGGGGCCAGCCCCGCUCGCUGCCCCUGGAAUCCUCCCAGGGGAUGGGCCCGGAUGCGGCUCCGCUGGGAUCCUGCUCCGACCCCCAGCCCCUCUUCCUGUGCCACCGCAACGCGCCCCGCAGGGCCGGCAAGAAAACGUCAGCGCCGCUCCCCUCUGCGGGGAAAAAACGGGGUUUGGGGGGAAAAACGGGGGGGUUUGGGGAAAAAAAAUGGGAGUUUGGGGAAAAAAAAUGGGAGUUU